RNAcentral lists this unclassified non-coding RNA (301 nucleotides) under Hevea brasiliensis (rubber tree). The record is from RNAcentral. Lineage: Eukaryota; Viridiplantae; Streptophyta; Magnoliopsida; Malpighiales; Euphorbiaceae.
GAUCAUGGAGCAAUGGGAAAAGAACUAUUACAUCACAGCAUUAGCCGGAGUCAUCAACGGGAGCUCAUUGGUCGUAAUGUCGAAGGGCACACAGUACUUGCAACAGUCAUACAAAGUCAGUGAUUCUUUUCCAUUCAAGUGGAUAAACAAAAAAUGGAGGGAGGGAUUCUUUGUAACAGCUAUGGCCACCUCGGGAAGUAGGUGGGGCGUCGUUAUGUCCCGUGGUGCAGGAUUUUCUGAUCAGGUGGUUGAAUUGGAUUUUUUAUACCCUAGUGAAGGUAUUCAUCGCCGGUGGGACUGU